GAAACCGGGACGAGUAAAUAAGGAGACAGAUGCUGAGCACAGUGCCAGGGGAAUGAGCGUGCAGGAGGGCGCUGGGGCCAGAGAAGCCUGCUUGUGCACGACGGAAGUAUUUGAUAGACGAGGACAGGGACCACUGACCAGGACAACUCCUGGAGCUCACUGCACAAGAGUCUGAGGGCUGGGAGCAGAGGAGAGUAAAACCUGCAUGAGGGCAAGAGUGCUUCCUGUCCCACUUUCUGCCGUGAUGAGAAAGUAGAGGGAUCGAUGAGUGUCCACAGGAAUCCGGAGGUGGAGGAAGAAGAGCACGGAAUGUUCGAGGCUUUCAGAACCUCCCAGAUUUUCACACUCGCUCCUGUUCCACACUAUUCGGGGUCAUUCUGUGUAAACGAACCGGCAGCUCUGUGAAGGCAGGAGCCAUGUCCCACUAUGCCCCCCAGCACCUAGCACACAGUAAGUGCUUAAUAAGUGAGAGAAUGUGUGAGUGAAUGAAUGGCAACCUAACCCAGAUUUU
Molecule: long non-coding RNA, 511 nt
Filed under: Ursus maritimus (polar bear)
Lineage: Eukaryota; Metazoa; Chordata; Mammalia; Carnivora; Ursidae
Description: lncRNA (ENSUMAG00000023545.1)
Source: RNAcentral